This 65-nucleotide transfer RNA is filed under the name Cemus sauteri. RNAcentral's name for it is "tRNA-Leu". It matches the Rfam family "tRNA". From Rfam's summary of the family: Transfer RNA (tRNA) molecules are approximately 80 nucleotides in length. Their secondary structure includes four short double-helical elements and three loops (D, anti-codon, and T loops). Lineage: Eukaryota; Metazoa; Arthropoda; Insecta; Hemiptera; Delphacidae. The record is from RNAcentral.
UCUAAAGUGGCAGAAUAGUGUAAUGAAUUUAAAAUUCACUGAUGAAAUUUUAAUUUCUUUUAGAA